RNAcentral lists this ribosomal RNA (305 nucleotides) under uncultured bacterium. RNAcentral's name for it is "bacterial SSU rRNA". It matches the Rfam family "Bacterial small subunit ribosomal RNA", at positions 28 to 333 of the family's 1533-position model. The record is from RNAcentral.
GACGAACGCUGGCGGCGUGCUUAACACAUGCAAGUCGAGCGGUAAGGCCCUUUCGGGGGGUACACGAGCGGCGAACGGGUGAGUAACACGUGGGUGACCUGCCCUCAGCUCUGGGAUAAGCCUGGGAAACCGGGUCUAAUACUGGAUAUGACUCCAUGACGCAUGUUGUGGGGUGGAAAGCCUUGUGCGGCUGAGGAUGGGCCCGCGGCCUAUCAGCUUGUUGGUGGGGUGANGGCCUACCAAGGCGACGACGGGUAGCCGGCCUGAGAGGGCGACCGGCCACACUGGGACUGAGACACGGCCCA